UCCUACGGGAGGCAGCAGUGAGGAAUAUUGGGCAAUGGAGGCAACUCUGACCCAGCCAUGCCGCGUGCAGGAAGACUGCCCUAUGGGUUGUAAACUGCUUUUAUACAGGAAGAAACACUGCUACGUGUAGCAGCUUGACGGUACUGUAAGAACAAGCACCGGCUAACUCCGUGCCAGCAGCCGCGGUAAU
This 190-nucleotide ribosomal RNA is filed under the name uncultured Flavobacterium sp. Its description in RNAcentral is "partial 16S ribosomal RNA". It matches the Rfam family "Bacterial small subunit ribosomal RNA", at positions 337 to 524 of the family's 1533-position model. The record is from RNAcentral. Lineage: Bacteria; Pseudomonadati; Bacteroidota; Flavobacteriia; Flavobacteriales; Flavobacteriaceae.